Molecule: non-coding RNA, 131 nt
Organism: Cinara cedri
Lineage: Eukaryota; Metazoa; Arthropoda; Insecta; Hemiptera; Aphididae
Source: the annotation of a GenBank genome assembly
UGUGUGUGUGUGUGUGUGUGUGUGUGUGUGUGUGUAGUGUAGAACGUCAAACGUGCGAUGAUAGUGGAACAGAAGGAAAAAAAACACACACGCUGUACCCACACACACGCGCGCACACACGCGCACACACA